GAUGAACGCUGGCGGCGUGCUUAACACAUGCAAGUCGAGCGAAGCACUUGAGUUUGAUUCUUCGGAUGAAGACUUUUGUGACUGAGCGGCGGACGGGUGAGUAACGCGUGGGUAACCUGCCUCAUACAGGGGGAUAACAGUUAGAAAUGACUGCUAAUACCGCAUAAGACCACGGUACCGCAUGGUACAGUGGUAAAAACUCCGGUGGUAUGAGAUGGACCCGCGUCUGAUUAGGUAGUUGGUGGGGUAACGGCCUACCAAGCCGACGAUCAGUAGCCGACCUGAGAGGGUGACCGGCCACAUUGGGACUGAGACACGGCCCAGACUCCUACGGGAGGCAGCAGUGGGGAAUAUUGCACAAUGGAGGAAACUCUGAUGCAGCGACGCCGCGUGAAGGAUGAAGUAUUUCGGUAUGUAAACUUCUAUCAGCAGGGAAGAAAAUGACGGU
This 448-nucleotide ribosomal RNA is filed under the name uncultured bacterium. RNAcentral's name for it is "bacterial SSU rRNA". It matches the Rfam family "Bacterial small subunit ribosomal RNA", at positions 28 to 458 of the family's 1533-position model. The record is from RNAcentral.